Molecule: long non-coding RNA, 1721 nt
Filed under: Pongo abelii (Sumatran orangutan)
Lineage: Eukaryota; Metazoa; Chordata; Mammalia; Primates; Hominidae
Description: lincRNA
Source: RNAcentral
UGAAUUAAUUCAACAAACAUUUUCUGGAGCACCGACAAUCUGCCCAGUGCACCAGGCUAGGUAUCUGAUACAAAGAUAAUGAAAACAGUCUCUUGGAACCUAAUUGGGGUCCUCAUUUGACCAGGACUUUCUUUCGUCCCCUUUUAAGCUAACCAGUUUUGUCCGGACAAGACAAAAACAACUUGGGCUGCUUUAGAGAAGCCCAGCUCAGUGUAGACAAUAGCUGCCCAGCCUCUGAAAGGGGCUGAUUGGAUUAUGUGGCAAAUGGAGGUGCAAGGAUGACUUGGACGGUGACAAAUGAAGUGGGCGGAGACCUGCUUUGAGUUAAUCCAGGCUAUUAGGAGGGGACCUUUUGUCUUCCAGAGACUGGCAGGAGCUUUUACCAGUGGUUUUUACAUCCUUAAUGUUCAGGACGAAUAAUUUAUGGUCAGUGAAAAUCCAGGCCCCAGUGAGAUUCGAGUGGGCUGUAAAAUCGAGAGUCCUGCUCCCAGUGAGUAAUAGUAGUGAAUGUUUCUGUCACUUUUUGCAACUGUCCAUUCAUUUGAUCCUCACAACUCCCUGUCCUGAGCCAGGGCCGGCCCCUGUCACUCCUAGGGAAACAGAGGCUGUCAAGAGGCUCUACAGGUUAGGCCCCACUGGAUCAUUGAAUCCCUGUUCCCUGAGUUCUAGAGGAAGAAUUGUACCUGUCUCAGUCCCGGCCAUCUCCAGAAAGCCUCCUUCUGCAUUUCUGACUUUGCUCUGCCCGCAGCCUGGAGCCUCCCAGGUCCUUGCUGUCAGCUUUUCUAGCCACUACAGUCUCUGUCUUUCCUUUCACAGCCAAGCUUCUUGAAAGGCCUGUCUACACUUGCUGUCUUCCUUCCUCACCUCCAAUUUCCUCUUCAACCCACUGCUUCCUGACUCGCUCUACUCCGUGGAAGGGCACUCACAAAGGGCUAAUCUAGGGCCUUGUCGAAGGAAGAGGCUGCAGACGUUAAUGAGGUUAGCUGCUGGAUUCCAAUAUUCGUCGCAUAAGGAGCCUUCUUUGUCUGCGAAGGAAAAACACACUGAUUAUCAUAAUGAGUUCCUGAGCUCGCCCUCCUGGGGUGCCCUUGGCCAGCCCCAUGUCUCCUCAGGGUGUCCCAGCACCAGCCUGGCACAGAGUGGGGCUCAGUUAGAGUAUGUGGGAUGUUGGUUUCGCCAGGCACGUGGGCCGCGGCCCAGCUGGGUCGGCUGAAGAACUGCGGAUGGAAGCUGUGGAAGAGGCCCUGAUGGGGCCCACCAUCCCGGACCCGAGUCUUCUUCCUGGAGGGCCUCUCGUCUCCUUCCUGUUUUGGGCGGAAGCCAUCACCUGGAUUCCUACGUGGGAAGGGACCUCGAAUGUGCGACCCCAGCCCCUCUCCAGCUCGAAAUCCCUCCACAGCCACGGGGACGCCCUGCACCUAUUCCCACGGGACAGGCUGGACCCAGAGACUCUGGACCCGGGGCCUCCCCUUGAGUAGAGACCCGCCCUCUGACUGAUGGACGCCGCUGACCUGGGGUCAGACCCGAGGGCUGGACCCCUGCCCACCCCGCAGGAACCCUGAGGCCUAGGGGAGCUGUUGAGCCUUCAGUGUCUGCAUGUGGGAAGUGGGCUCGUUCACCUACCUCACAGGGCUGUUGUGAGGGGCGCUGUGAUGCGGUUCCAAAGCACAGGGCUUGGCGCACCCCACUGUGCUCUCAAUAAAUGUGUUUCCUGUCUUAAC